GCAUCUGUGGUCCAGAGGUAUGAUUAUCGCCUGCCACGCGGUAGACCCGGGUUCGAUUCCCGGCGGAUGCA
RNAcentral lists this transfer RNA (71 nucleotides) under Coemansia aciculifera. It matches the Rfam family "tRNA". Rfam says of the family: Transfer RNA (tRNA) molecules are approximately 80 nucleotides in length. Their secondary structure includes four short double-helical elements and three loops (D, anti-codon, and T loops). Lineage: Eukaryota; Fungi; Kickxellomycota; Kickxellomycetes; Kickxellales; Kickxellaceae. RNAcentral also lists the same sequence under 32 other names. The record is from Rfam by way of RNAcentral.